AGCCCACAUCAGUUUAUUUUCAUUUCACUGACUAUAAUAUCUAUACUGUAUAAUCCAUGUUAACAUACACUUAACCUACAUCAUACAGCAUUGUAUAUCUUGGAUUCACAUACAGACAGAUAUAAAACAAAUUAUAAACUAACACUUCCAUUUAACGUGUACGUGUGUAUUUUACAAAGUCACUAUGUUGGUAAGAUUUUUUUUUGUAUUUUCUUUCAUACUUUGAUAAAUGAGAAUCUUAUUUAAAAUCUUAUAGAUACAAAUCGACAGUUUUAUUAAAUUUAUUUCACAAUAUUGACGUGGAGAACUGAAAAUGUUAACUAGAGGUAUCAUACAUAUGACCUGUGUGCAUACAAGUCAUCAUCUUCUUGAGUGUUUCUAUACAGUGUAAAAUAUGGUCCGAGACAACAAUUAUUUCGUAGUGCAUUUCUUUUACAACAUAAAUGAAAAUAAAAAAAAUCCCACCUGCACUUUCUCAAAGAAACUUUUACAGUGUGUUGUACUACUUUUGGGACAAAUUAUAUCAAAAUUAUAGAAAACUUAAUUUCAACCCCCUACUUGCAAUUUGAGGCAUAAAACAUGGAGAAAUAAAUU
This 594-nucleotide long non-coding RNA is filed under the name Mytilus galloprovincialis (Mediterranean mussel). The record is from RNAcentral. Lineage: Eukaryota; Metazoa; Mollusca; Bivalvia; Mytilida; Mytilidae.